UUUUUUUCCAAUAUCUGUGAUCGG
RNAcentral lists this non-coding RNA (24 nucleotides) under Cricetulus griseus (Chinese hamster). The record is from RNAcentral. Lineage: Eukaryota; Metazoa; Chordata; Mammalia; Rodentia; Cricetidae.